This 18-nucleotide small nuclear RNA is filed under the name Arabidopsis thaliana (thale cress). RNAcentral describes it as "snRNA_12801". The record is from RNAcentral. Lineage: Eukaryota; Viridiplantae; Streptophyta; Magnoliopsida; Brassicales; Brassicaceae.
UGAGCCGUCACACGGAAU